RNAcentral lists this ribosomal RNA (703 nucleotides) under uncultured bacterium. RNAcentral's name for it is "bacterial SSU rRNA". It matches the Rfam family "Bacterial small subunit ribosomal RNA", at positions 797 to 1501 of the family's 1533-position model. The record is from RNAcentral.
ACGCUGUAAACGAUGUCUACUAGCCGUUGGAGGACUUGAUCCUUUAGUGGCGCAGCUAACGCGAUAAGUAGACCGCCUGGGGAGUACGGUCGCAAGAUUAAAACUCAAAUGAAUUGACGGGGGCCCGCACAAGCGGUGGAGCAUGUGGUUUAAUUCGAAGCAACGCGAAGAACCUUACCUACUCUUGACAUCCAGUGAACUUUUGAGAGAUCAAUUGGUGCCUUCGGGAACACUGAGACAGGUGCUGCAUGGCUGUCGUCAGCUCGUGUUGUGAAAUGUUGGGUUAAGUCCCGUAACGAGCGCAACCCUUGUCCUUAGUUACCAUCAUUAAGUUGGGGACUCUAAGGAGACUGCCGGUGACAAACCGGAGGAAGGCGGGGACGACGUCAAGUCAUCAUGGCCCUUACGAGUAGGGCUACACACGUGCUACAAUGGCAUGUACAAAGGGUUGCCAAGCCGCGAGGUGGAGCUAAUCCCAUAAAGCAUGUCGUAGUCCGGAUUGGAGUCUGCAACUCGACUCCAUGAAGUCGGAAUCGCUAGUAAUCGUGAAUCAGAAUGUCACGGUGAAUACGUUCCCGGGCCUUGUACACACCGCCCGUCACACCAUGGGAGUGGGUUGCUCCAGAAGUAGAUAGCUUAACCUUCGGGAGGGCGUUUACCACGGAGUGAUUCAUGACUGGGGUGAAGUCGUAACAAGGUAGCC